GAUGAACGCUAGCGAUAGGCUUAACACAUGCAAGUCGAGGGGCAGCAUGGUCUUAGCUUGCUAAGACUGAUGGCGACCGGCGCACGGGUGCGUAACGCGUAUGCAACUUGCCUCACAGAGGGGGAUAACCCGUCGAAAGACGGACUAAUACCGCGUACACUUGGGAUAGGGCAUCCUGACCCAAGGAAAUGAAAUUCGCUGUGAGAUAGGCAUGCGUCCCAUUAGCUAGUUGGUGAGGUAACGGCUCACCAAGGCGACGAUGGGUAGGGGAACUGAGAGGUUGAACCCCCACACUGGUACUGAGACACGGACCAGACUUCUACGGGAGGCAGCAGUGAGGAAUAUUGGUCAAUGGGCGAGAGUCUGAACCAGCCAAGUCGCGUGAAGGAUGACUGUCUUAUGGAUUGUAAACUUCUUUUAUACGGGAAUAACAAGAGCCACGUGUGGCUCCCUGCAUGUACCGUAUGAAUAAGCAUCGGCUAACUCCGUG
This 490-nucleotide ribosomal RNA is filed under the name uncultured bacterium. Its description in RNAcentral is "partial 16S ribosomal RNA". It matches the Rfam family "Bacterial small subunit ribosomal RNA", at positions 28 to 507 of the family's 1533-position model. The record is from RNAcentral.